This 355-nucleotide ribosomal RNA is filed under the name uncultured bacterium. Its description in RNAcentral is "bacterial SSU rRNA". It matches the Rfam family "Bacterial small subunit ribosomal RNA", at positions 122 to 507 of the family's 1533-position model. The record is from RNAcentral.
AUACCUACCCUCGAGUGGGGAAUAACUUCGGGAAACCGAGGCUAAUACCGCAUAAUACCCACGGGUCAAAGGAGCAAUUCGCUUGAGGAGGAGGUCGCGGCCGAUUAGUUAGUUGGCGGGGUAAUGGCCCCACCAAGACGGUGAUCGGUAUCCGGCCUGAGAGGGCGCACGGACACACUGGAACUGAAACACGGUCCAGACUCCUACGGGAGGCAGCAGUGGGGAAUAUUGCGCAAUGGGCGAAAGCCUGACGCAGCGACGCCGCGUGAGGGAUGACGGCCUUCGGGUUGUAAACCUCUUUCAGCUCCGACGAAUUCAGACGGUAGGAGCAGAAGAAGCACCGGCCAACUACGUG